RNAcentral lists this ribosomal RNA (253 nucleotides) under uncultured bacterium. Its description in RNAcentral is "partial 16S ribosomal RNA". It matches the Rfam family "Bacterial small subunit ribosomal RNA", at positions 524 to 776 of the family's 1533-position model. The record is from RNAcentral.
UACGUAGGGGGCAAGCGUUGUCCGGAAUCAUUGGGCGUAAAGAGCGUGUAGGCGGCUCGAUAAGUCCGCUGUGAAAGUCCAGGGCUCAACCCUGGAAGGCCGGUGGAAACUGUCGGGCUAGAGUCCGGAAGAGGCGAGUGGAAUUCCUGGUGUAGCGGUGAAAUGCGCAGAUAUCAGGAGGAACACCGAUGGCGAAGGCAGCUCGCUGGGACGGUACUGACGCUGAGGCGCGAAAGCGUGGGGAGCAAACAGG